GACGAACGCUGGCGGCGUGCUUAACACAUGCAAGUCGAACGGAAAGGCCUCUUUCGGGGGGUACUCGAGUGGCGAACGGGUGAGUAACACGUGAGUAACCUGCCCUUGACUUUGGGAUAACUUCAGGAAACUGGGGCUAAUACCGGAUAGGAGCUCCUGCUGCAUGGUGGGGGUUGGAAAGUUUCGGCGGUUGGGGAUGGACUCGCGGCUUAUCGGCUUGUUGGUGGGGUAGUGGCUUACCAAGGCUUUGACGGGUAGCCGGCCUGUGAGGGUGACCGGCCACAUUGGGACUGAGGUACGGCCCAGACUCCUACGGGUGGCAGCAGUGGGGAAUAUUGCACAAUGGGUGGAAGCCUGAUGCAGCAACGCCGUGUGCGGGAUGACGGCCUUCGGGUUGUAAACCGCUUUCGCUCAUGACGAAGCUUUGUGUGACGGUAGUGGGUAAAGAAGCACCGGCUAACUACGUG
Molecule: ribosomal RNA, 467 nt
Filed under: uncultured bacterium
Lineage: Bacteria
Description: partial 16S ribosomal RNA
Rfam family: Bacterial small subunit ribosomal RNA
Source: RNAcentral